GUGGGGAAUCUUGCGCAAUGGGCGAAAGCCUGACGCAGCCAUGCCGCGUGAAUGAUGAAGGUCUUAGGAUUGUAAAAUUCUUUCACCGGGGACGAUAAUGACGGUACCCGGAGAAGAAGCUCCGGCUAACUUCGUGCCAGCAGCCGCGGUAAUACGAAGGGGGCUAGCGUUGCUCGGAAUUACUGGGCGUAAAGGGCGCGUAGGCGGUCUUGUAAGCUUGGCGUGAAAGACCACGGCUCAACCGUGGGAUUGCGUUGAGAACUGCGAGGCUUGAGUGACGGAGAGGGAGCUAGAAUUCCUGGUGUAGGGGUGGAAUCUGUAGAGAUCAGGAAGAAUACCAAUGGCGAAGGCAAGCUCCUGGCCGAUGACUGACGCUGAGGUGCGAAAGUGUGGGGAUCAAACAGGAUUAGAUACCCCGGUAGUCC
This 425-nucleotide ribosomal RNA is filed under the name uncultured bacterium. Its description in RNAcentral is "partial 16S ribosomal RNA". It matches the Rfam family "Bacterial small subunit ribosomal RNA", at positions 354 to 796 of the family's 1533-position model. The record is from RNAcentral.